This 253-nucleotide ribosomal RNA is filed under the name uncultured bacterium. RNAcentral's name for it is "partial 16S ribosomal RNA". It matches the Rfam family "Bacterial small subunit ribosomal RNA", at positions 524 to 776 of the family's 1533-position model. The record is from RNAcentral.
UACGAAGGGGGCUAGCGUUGCUCGGAAUUACUGGGCGUAAAGGGCGCGUAGGCGGAUGUUUAAGUCGGGGGUGAAACCCCGGGUCUCAACCCCGGAAUUGCCUUCGAUACUGGACAUCUUGAGUACGGGAGAGGUGAGUGGAACUCCGAGUGUAGAGGUGAAAUUCGUAGAUAUUCGGAAGAACACCAGUGGCGAAGGCGACUCACUGGCCCGUUACUGACGCUGAGGUGCGAAAGCGUGAGGAGCAAACAGG